UGGUAGUGUAUUGGACAACCACGGCUAUCACGGGUAACGGAGAAUUAGGGUUCGGUUCCGGAGAGGGAGCCUGGGAAACGGCUACCACAUCUAAGGAUAGCAGCAGGCGCGAAAAUUGCCCAAUCCCGAUUCGGGGAGGCAGUGACAAGAAAUAACAACCCAGGGAUUAUCCCAGGGAUUGUAAUGAGAAAAAUGUAAAAAUCUUAUCGAGUAUCAACUGGAGGGCAAGUUUUGGUGCCAGCAGCCGCGGUAAUUCCAACUCCAGUAGCGUAUAUUAAAGUUGCUGCAGUUAAAAAGCUCGUAGUUGAAAUUCUGCUCCGGCAGUUCAAUUUCCAAUAGGUUAUUGACACUCCGGGCAUCAGUCUGCAAUCUUUUUCACGGCAUUCAUUUGUCGGGCUAGGGAGCAGACGCUUUACCUUGAGAAAAUUAGAGUGUUCCAGGCAGGCUUCAGCCCGAAUACAUUAGCAUGGAAUAAUAGAAUAGGACUAGAGACUAUUUAUUGGUUUAAGGCUCUAGUAAUGAUUAAUAGGAACAGUCGGGGGCAUUAGUACUUAACAGUCAGAGGUGAAAUUCUAGGAUUUGUUAAAGACUAACUAAUGCGAAAGCAUUUGCCAAGCAUGUUUUCAUUAAUCAAGAACGAAAGUUAGGGGAUCAAAGACGAUCAGA
This 666-nucleotide ribosomal RNA is filed under the name uncultured ciliate. RNAcentral describes it as "SSU rRNA". It matches the Rfam family "Eukaryotic small subunit ribosomal RNA", at positions 326 to 1012 of the family's 1831-position model. The record is from RNAcentral. Lineage: Eukaryota; Ciliophora.